This 894-nucleotide long non-coding RNA is filed under the name Mus musculus (house mouse). RNAcentral's name for it is "lincRNA-EC99". Lineage: Eukaryota; Metazoa; Chordata; Mammalia; Rodentia; Muridae. The record is from RNAcentral.
AAGCUGCUCGCGUCCUGGGAACACAGUGUUCCAGUCGUGCUCCCUGGAGAUCAUGCAGUUGGGAAUUCUCUGACUGUAAAGCGGACCUUCACAGAGCCACGGUCACCAGGCUGGCAAACGUCUUUUCCCAUUGAGGCAUCUUUCUGGCUCUGGAGAGUGAAAGUUUUCAAAGGAAGAUAAACUUUCCUGGGCUCUCCAAACCAAAAUGGUGAAAAAGCUUCGGACUCCUGGGCCCCAACUUAAACUGCUUUGAGUUCUAGAAGCUUCACUCCCAGACUCAGCUCUCAGAAGUUAUGGAGGGCAAACAAGAGCCCACCCAGGACAAGCAGUCUCACAGGGGGACAGGGCCAUGAGUUUCCUCUUGGAACCAUUCCUUCCAGGUGCUAAGGCUUGGCUCCUGGGAAGUCACAGACGGACCUGAGUGUAUACACCACAUAUACUGUGUAGUGUGCAUGUGUGCUUGGCUCUACUCUGCUUCAUGUAGACUUAGUUCUUCGGGUAACACUCUUGGAGGGUUAGAACACGCGUCAGUCUAUCCUGAGAAGACCCUGUGUAUUUCCUACUGCUGCCUCACACUAAAUUGUUUAUUCUCUUGAGCCAGGAGUUAAACACUUCCAGUAAAAGUGUUAGAUACUAAACAGUGUGUUUUGUGGGUUAUAGAAACGGUCUUACCUGUGUGUAUAUAUAUACAUAUGUGUACAAACACAAUACAGAUAUAUAAAAGAACAUUAAGAAAUUGCACUUUACAUAUAUGGGUGUUUUCUCUGCAUGUAUGUCUGUGAACCACAUACAUGCCUUGUACCCACAAAGGCUAGAAGAGGACAUCAAACCCCCUAGGUAGGACUGGAGUUACAGUGGUGAGCCACCAUGCAGGUGCUGGGAAUUGAAUUGGAG